Molecule: ribosomal RNA, 253 nt
Filed under: uncultured bacterium
Lineage: Bacteria
Description: partial 16S ribosomal RNA
Rfam family: Bacterial small subunit ribosomal RNA
Source: RNAcentral
UACGUAGGGUGCGAGCGUUAAUCGGAAUUACUGGGCGUAAAGUGUGCGCGGGCGGCCGAGCAAGUCGAGUGUGAAAGCCCCGGGCUUAACUUGGGAAUUGCGCUCGAAACUACUUGGCUGGAGUGUGGCAGAGGAAGGUGGAAUUCCAGGUGUAGCGGUGAAAUGCGUAGAGAUCUGGAGGAACACCGAUGGCGAAGGCAGCCUUCUGGGCCAACACUGACGCUCAUGCACGAAAGCGUGGGGAGCAAACAGG